CUACGGGGUGCUGCAGUGAGGAAUAUUGCGCAAUGAGCGAAAGCUAGACGCAGCAACGCCGCGUGAGCGAAGAAGGCCUUCGGGUUGUAAAGCUCUUUUCUGUGUGAAGAGAAGGACGGUAGCACAGGAAUAAGUGUCGGCUAACUACGUGCCAGCAGCCGCGGUAAAACGUAGGACGCAAGCGUUAUCCGGAUUUACUGGGCGUAAAGCGCGUGCAGGCGGUCAGUUAAGUUAUGCGUGAAAGCUCCCGGCUCAACCGGGGGAGGUCGUAUACAACUGAUUGACUUGAAGGCAGCAGAGGCGUGUGGAAUUCCAGGUGUAGUGGUGAAAUGCGUAGAUAUCUGGAGGAACACCAGUGGUGAAGGCGACACGCUGGGCUGUAUUUUAUGCUAAGACGCGAAAGCGUGGGUAGCGAACGGGAUUAGAUACCCUAGUAGUC
This 439-nucleotide ribosomal RNA is filed under the name uncultured bacterium. RNAcentral's name for it is "partial 16S ribosomal RNA". It matches the Rfam family "Bacterial small subunit ribosomal RNA", at positions 339 to 795 of the family's 1533-position model. The record is from RNAcentral.